This 255-nucleotide ribosomal RNA is filed under the name uncultured bacterium. RNAcentral's name for it is "partial 16S ribosomal RNA". It matches the Rfam family "Bacterial small subunit ribosomal RNA", at positions 524 to 776 of the family's 1533-position model. The record is from RNAcentral.
UACGUAGGGACCGAGCGUUGUCCGGAAUCAUUGGGCGUAAAGAGCGUGUAGGCGGCUUGUUAAGUCUUGCGUGAAAUCUCGGGGCUCAACCCCGAGCGGUCGUGAGAAACUGGCAGGCUAGAGUGCGGGAGAGGAGAGUGGAAUUCCUGGUGUAGCGGUGAAAUGCGCAGAUAUCAGGAAGAACACCCGUGGCGAAGGCGGCUCUCUGGAACGCAACUGACGCUGAGACGCGAAAAGCGUGGGGGAGCAAACAGG